GAUCUUGGCUCAGGAUGAACGCUAGCUACAGGCUUAACACAUGCAAGUCGAGGGGCAGCAUGAACUUAGCUUGCUAAGUUCGAUGGCGACCGGCGCACGGGUGAGUAACACGUAUCCAACCUCCCGCUUACUCAGGAAUAGCCUUUCGAAAGAAAGAUUAAUGCCUGAUGGUAUCUUAAGCACACAUGUAAUUAAGAUUAAAGAUUUAUCGGUAAGCGAUGGGGAUGCGUUCCAUUAGGUAGUAGGCGGGGUAACGGCCCACCUAGCCGACGAUGGAUAGGGGUUCUGAGAGGAAGGUCCCCCACAUUGGAACUGAGACACGGUCCAAACUCCUACGGGAGGCAGCAGUGAGGAAUAUUGGUCAAUGGGCGCGAGCCUGAACCAGCCAAGUAGCGUGAAGGAUGAAGGUCCUAUGGAUUGUAAACUUCUUUUAUACGGGAAUAAAGUGGCCUACGCGUAGGCUUUUGCAUGUACCGUAUGAAUAAGCAUCGGCUAACUCCGUGCCAGCAGCCGCGGUAAUACGGAGGAUGCGAGCGUUAUCCGGAUUUAUUGGGUUUAAAGGGAGCGCAGACGGGGGAUUAAGUCAGUUGUGAAAGUUUGCGGCUCAACCGUAAAAUUGCAGUUGAUACUGGUUCCCUUGAGUGCAGUUGAGGCAGGCGGAAUUCGUGGUGUAGCGGUGAAAUGCAUAGAUAUCACGAAGAACCCCGAUUGCGAAGGCAGCCUGCUAAGCUGUAACUGACGUUGAGGCUCGAAAGUGUGGGUAUCAAACAGGAUUAGAUACCCUGGUAGUCC
This 792-nucleotide ribosomal RNA is filed under the name uncultured bacterium. RNAcentral describes it as "bacterial SSU rRNA". It matches the Rfam family "Bacterial small subunit ribosomal RNA", at positions 15 to 796 of the family's 1533-position model. The record is from RNAcentral.